This 430-nucleotide ribosomal RNA is filed under the name uncultured bacterium. RNAcentral describes it as "bacterial SSU rRNA". It matches the Rfam family "Archaeal small subunit ribosomal RNA", at positions 339 to 776 of the family's 1478-position model. The record is from RNAcentral.
GCGAGAAACCUUUGCAAUGUGCGCAAGCACGACAAGGUUAAUCCGAGUGUUUCCUGCUAAAGGAAUCUUUUGUUAGUUCUAAAACCACUGAUGAAUAAGAGGUGGGCAAGUUCUGGUGUCAGCCGCCGCGGUAAAACCAGCACCUCAAGUGGUCAGGAGGAUUAUUGGGCCUAAAGCAUCCGUAGCCGGUUCUGUAAGUUUUCGGUUAAAUCCACUAGCUUAACUAAUGGGCUGCCGAAAAUACUGCAGAACUAGGGAGUGGGAGAGGUAGACGGUACUCGGUAGGAAGGGGUAAAAUCCUUUGAUCUAUUGAUGACCACCUGUGGCGAAGGCGGUCUACCAGAACACGUUCGACGGUGAGGGAUGAAAGCUGGGGGAGCAAACCGGAUUAGAUACCCUCGUAGUCCCUGAGCGGGCUGGCAAGGCGCAU